AUGGCGGAGCUGUGCGAUCUUCCUGCUGCUGUUGUAGCGUCAUCCGAGGAAAGUUCAUAUGUGAUCAAGAUAGACGGAUACUCAAGAAUCAAAGGGCAAAUUCAGCAUGGCAACUACGUGAAAUCUACCCCUUUCACUGUUGGAGGUAACGACUGGGUUGUGGAGUACUACCCAAACGGCUCCGACACCGAAAAGUAUGAAGCCGGCAUAUCCGUUUUUCUAGCUCUUGCCCCCGCUGGUUCCAAGGAUGUGAAGGCCAAAUUUAGAUUCAGUCUGCUUGACAGGGAAGGCGAACCGGUGGCAUCGAAAAGCAAGAACACGUCCGAACACAUCUUCAAUAGCAAACGUUCAAGCAGGGGUUUUAGUAGUUUUAUCAAGAAGGCUGAUCUUGAGGGAGCGGCGUAUCUAAAGCACGACAGUUUCAGCAUCAGGUGUGAUGUUACCGUCGUGAAGUAUAUCCAUAGAGGUAAUCGGGUUAUUGCGAUUCCUCCAAGCAACUUGCAUCAGCAUCUCGGUGACCUCCUCCUAGAGAGCAAAGAUGGAGCGGACGUGACCUUUCAUGUCGGCGAGGUGAGUUUCUUGGCUCAUAGGUCCAUACUCGCCGCUCGGUCAUCCAUCUUUAGAGCGGAGCUCUUUGGCGCCAUGAAGGAGAAAGGCGGUAGUCCAAUUGAAAUCAGUGAUAUGGAAAGUGAUGUAUUCAAAUCAUUGCUCCACUUCAUAUACACCGACUCACUGCCCGUUCCUGAGACAAGUAGUGGGGGUGAAACACGGAGAGACGCGGUGAUGGCUAGCCAUCUACUUGUUGCAGCUGACAGGUACAACAUUGAGAGACUGAAGCUGAUAUGUGAAGAGAAGUUGUGCAACCUCAUCGACUCCAAUAUCGUGGCGACCACUUUGGCUCUAGCUGAGCAGCACGGCUCUUAUAGAGUCAAAGAUGCUUGCUUUGAGUUCCUUGUUUCUCCUUCCAAUUUGGAGGCGAUGAUGGCAAGUGAUGGUUACAAGCAUCUGAAGAAUAGCUUCCCGUCUGUUCUCAGAGAGCUGGCUGCUAGCUUCCUGCCGGCCGAGCUGAAAGCGGUCAAAGAUAUUAUCAUGACAAUUUAG
RNAcentral lists this ribosomal RNA (1101 nucleotides) under Triticum aestivum (bread wheat). Its description in RNAcentral is "partial small subunit ribosomal RNA". The record is from RNAcentral. Lineage: Eukaryota; Viridiplantae; Streptophyta; Magnoliopsida; Poales; Poaceae.